Molecule: ribosomal RNA, 460 nt
Filed under: uncultured bacterium
Lineage: Bacteria
Description: partial 16S ribosomal RNA
Rfam family: Bacterial small subunit ribosomal RNA
Source: RNAcentral
CCUACGGGAGGCAGCAGUGAGGAAUAUUGGUCAAUGGACGCAAGUCUGAACCAGCCAUGCCGCGUGCAGGAAGACGGCUCUAUGAGUUGUAAACUGCUUUUGUACGAGGGUAAACGCAGAUACGCGUAUCUGUCUGAAAGUAACGUACGAAUAAGGAUCGGCUAACUCCGUGCCAGCAGCCGCGGUAAUACGGAGGAUUCAAGCGUUAUCCGGAUUUAUUGGGUUUAAAGGGUGCGUAGGCGGGCGGAUAAGUUAGAUGUGAAAUCCCGAGGCUCAACUUCGGAAUUGCCUUUGAUACGGUUAGGCUAGAGAGUAGUUGCGGUAGGCGGAAUGUAUGGUGUAGCGGUGAAAUGCUUAGAGAUCAUACAGAACACCGAUUGCGAAGGCAGCUUACCAAGCUACUUCUGACGUUGAGGCACGAAAGCGUGGGGAGCAAACAGGAUUAGAUACCCUUGUAGUC